AGUUCUCAAGAACCACUUGUGCCCGAAGCCCUUAGCUUCCUUUGCGGAAGAUUUGCGCGUAGGACACUAACUUAAAGGAUUUCCAUUUUUGUAGGUAGGUUUGUCGGAACUUCAGCUCAUUGUCUAGGCAACUAGCCAGACUUUACCGUUGCAGCGUUUAGCUGGGUCAAGGUCACCCUCGACGAUUGGAGUUCCUGGCCUACACCAGUUGGCAGAAUCCACCUAAGGGAACUCUUCCAAUGGGGGUCUCCAUCACGGCGUCAAUCUUCUUGCGAUGCCAGGCACGCACAAAUCAAAUGGACGCCAUUCAUUGCCAUCAUCAUCGACUGGUCUUUGCAUCCAUCCAUGCCGAUCCUCUAGAGCUCCAAUGCUGUGCAGAUCGGUCAGCGCCCAAGUGGCGGCGGAUUGCUGCAUUUGGUGCUGGCAUCGCAAACUGCGUUCCUCAUUGAAUUUCGUUUUCGAUUUGCUGCGAUAUUAUGCAUGCCCAAUCCAGUGGCGGAAUCCAAUGGGGUUACGUACCAAAGAGGAGUUUCA
Molecule: non-coding RNA, 534 nt
Organism: Drosophila melanogaster (fruit fly)
Lineage: Eukaryota; Metazoa; Arthropoda; Insecta; Diptera; Drosophilidae
Source: Ensembl